UACGUAGGUGGCAAGCGUUGUCCGGAAUUAUUGGGCGUAAAGCGCGCGCAGGCGGUCUUUUAAGUCUGAUGUGAAAGCCCACGGCUCAACCGUGGAAGGUCAUUGGAAACUGGAAGACUUGAGUGCAGAAGAGAAGAGCGGAAUUCCACGUGUAGCGGUGAAAUGCGUAGAGAUGUGGAGGAACACCAGUGGCGAAGGCGGCUCUUUGGUCUGUAACUGACGCUGAGGCGCGAAAGCGUGGGGAGCAAACAGG
RNAcentral lists this ribosomal RNA (253 nucleotides) under uncultured bacterium. RNAcentral's name for it is "partial 16S ribosomal RNA". It matches the Rfam family "Bacterial small subunit ribosomal RNA", at positions 524 to 776 of the family's 1533-position model. The record is from RNAcentral.